Molecule: ribosomal RNA, 465 nt
Filed under: uncultured bacterium
Lineage: Bacteria
Description: partial 16S ribosomal RNA
Rfam family: Bacterial small subunit ribosomal RNA
Source: RNAcentral
CCUACGGGAGGCAGCAGUAGGGAAUCUUCCACAAUGGGCGAAAGCCUGAUGCAGCAACGCCGCGUGUGUGAAGAAGGUCUUCGGAUCGUAAAACCCUGUUAGUAGAGAAGAAAGUGCGUGAGAGUAACUCUUCACGUUUCGACGGUAUCUAACCAGAAAGCCACGGCUAACUACGUGCCAGCAGCCGCGGUAAUACGUAGGUGGCAAGCGUUAUCCGGAUUUAUUGGGCGUAAAGGGAACGCAGGCGGUCUGUUAAGUCUGAUGUGAAAGCCUUCGGCUUAACCGGAGUAGUGCAUUGGAUACUGGGAGACUUGAGUGCCGAAGAGGAGAGUGGAACUCCAUGUGUAGCGGUGAAAUGCGUAGAUAUAUGGAAGAAGACCAGUGGCGAAGGCGGCUCUCUGGUCUGUGACUGACGCUGAGGUUCGAAAGCGUGGGUAGCAAACAGGAUUAGAUACCCGUGUAGUC